GCCAGCAGCCGCGGUAAUACUAAGGGGGCAAGCGUUGUUCGGAAUUACUGGGCGUAAAGGGUGCGUAAGCGGUUUGGCAAGUCUGAUGUGAAAUCUCUGGGCUCAACCCGGAGUCUGCAUUUGAUACUGCCGGGCUUGAGUGCGGGAGAGGUUAGUGGAAUUCCCGGUGUAGCGGUGAAAUGCAUAUAUAUCGGGAGGAACACCAGUGGCGAAGGCGGCUAUCUGGACCUUUACUGACGCUGAGGCACGAAAGCUUGGGGAGCACACAGGAUUAGAUACCCUGGUAGUCCACGCCAUAAACGAUG
This 305-nucleotide ribosomal RNA is filed under the name uncultured bacterium. Its description in RNAcentral is "bacterial SSU rRNA". It matches the Rfam family "Bacterial small subunit ribosomal RNA", at positions 507 to 811 of the family's 1533-position model. The record is from RNAcentral.